This 73-nucleotide transfer RNA is filed under the name bacterium. RNAcentral's name for it is "tRNA-Thr". It matches the Rfam family "tRNA". Rfam says of the family: Transfer RNA (tRNA) molecules are approximately 80 nucleotides in length. Their secondary structure includes four short double-helical elements and three loops (D, anti-codon, and T loops). The record is from RNAcentral.
GCCACCAUAGCUCAGUUGGUAGAGCACCUCACUUGUAAUGAGGGGGUCGCGGGUUCGAGUCCUGCUGGUGGCU